RNAcentral lists this transfer RNA (72 nucleotides) under Marmota monax (woodchuck). RNAcentral describes it as "tRNA.Ala". The record is from RNAcentral. Lineage: Eukaryota; Metazoa; Chordata; Mammalia; Rodentia; Sciuridae.
GGGGUUGUGGCUCAAGUGGCAGAGCGCUCACUUAGCACAAGUGGGGCACUGAGUUCGAUUCUCAGCACCACA